Molecule: small nuclear RNA, 108 nt
Filed under: Echinops telfairi (small Madagascar hedgehog)
Lineage: Eukaryota; Metazoa; Chordata; Mammalia; Afrosoricida; Tenrecidae
Source: RNAcentral
GUGCUCGCUUCGGCAGCAUGUAUACUAAAAUUGGAACGAUACAGAGAAGAUUAGCAUGGGCCUCUGUGCAAGGAUGACACGCAAAUUUGUGAAGCAUGCUCAUAUUUA